GGUUCUCUCCAGUUCCUGUACCUGCAUUGAGAGCGCAGGCUGCGUCACAGCGCAGUGCUCGGCGGCCUUGCCGAAAUGGCCGGAUCUGGCCACGGCGUCGAAGGAGCUGUUUAAGGGACACCAUCGAUCAGUUCUUCUUAUUCAAGACCGUUAUUAAUACGGUCAGACCUGAUUGAACAGCCCUUCAGUCGACGCAUCUC
This 200-nucleotide unclassified non-coding RNA is filed under the name Hevea brasiliensis (rubber tree). Lineage: Eukaryota; Viridiplantae; Streptophyta; Magnoliopsida; Malpighiales; Euphorbiaceae. The record is from RNAcentral.